RNAcentral lists this ribosomal RNA (460 nucleotides) under uncultured bacterium. RNAcentral's name for it is "partial 16S ribosomal RNA". It matches the Rfam family "Bacterial small subunit ribosomal RNA", at positions 338 to 795 of the family's 1533-position model. The record is from RNAcentral.
CCUACUGGGGACAUCAUUGAGGCAUCUUGGUCAAUGGGCGGAAGCCUGAACCAGCCAAGUAGCGUGCAGUCUUCCUUCCCUCCUUUUUUUCCCCUUCUUUUCUCCUUUCCUCCCGCGCCUUACUGUUAGGGCUUUGCAUGUACCGUAUGAAUAAGGACCGGCUAAUUCCGUGCCAGCAUCCGCGGUAAUACGUAAGGUCCGGGCGUUAUCCGGAUUUAUUGGGUUUAAAGGGAGCGUAGGCCGCAUGUCAAGCGUGCUGUGAAAUGUCCGGGCUCAACCCGGGCCUUGCAGCGCGAACUGGCGUGCUUGAGUCCGCGGAAAGCAGGCGGAAUUCGUCGUGUAGCGGUGAAAUGCUUAGAUAUGACGAAGAACCCCGAUUGCGAAGGCAGCUUGCUGCAGCGGAACUGACGCUGAUGCUCGAAAGCGAGGGUAUCGAACAGGAUUAGAGAAAAGAGUAGUC